CAGGCUCCUGGGACUCUACAGGUUUCUCCAGGUACGAAGAGAUGUCUUCUGUGCCCAGAGGAGCAGUACUCAAGCCGCACCAGAGAUGGCUGCCUGCCCAGGACAGAGACCUUCCUGGCCUUUGACGACCCCCUGGGACUCAUGCUCGCCUUGGUGGCGCUCAUGCUGGCCAGCCUGGCAGUGCUGGUCCUCAGACUGUUCUGAAGCACCGAGACACACCUGUGGUCGGGGCCAACAACAGAGCUCUCAGCUGCACGCCGCUCACCUCCCUGACCCUCUGUGCCCUCUGUCCCUUGCCUUGCCUUGGUUGUCCCACAGCUGCCACCUGCCGCCUCUACCAGACCACAGUUGCUGUUGUGUUCACCAUGGCUGUCUCUUCCGUCCUGGCCUUCAGGGUCACCAGGUGACAGGGUCUGGGUGUGCCUGGGACCUGGCGCUUCCACCUCGGUGGUCCUUGCUGCUUCCUUGGUGCAGGUUGUUCUCUGUGGCAUCUGGCUGGGCACUUCCCCACCAUUCCCAGAUGGGGACAUGGCCUCAGAGCCCAGCCACAUUGUCAUCCAGUGCUGAGAGGGCUCUGCUGUCGCUUUCUCCUGUGUGCUGGGCUACCUGGGCCUCCUGGCUGGGGGCACCUUCUUUGUAGCCUUCCUGGCCAGGGGUCUGCCAGACGCCUUCAACAAGUCCAAGUUCCUCACCUUCAGCGUGCUGCUGUUCUGCAGCUUCUGGACAACCUUCCUGCCCCUGUACCACAGCGCACAGGGCAAGUCCACUGUGGCCGUGGAGAUCUUUUCCAUCCUGGCUUCCAUGGCAGGGCUGCUGGGUGGCAUCUUUGCCCCAAAUGUUACAUCAUCCUGCUAAAGCCCGAGCGGAAUGCCCCAGACUGGGUGAGGCGAGGACACUGGGAUCGGUGGGAAACGUGGAGCCAGGAGCUCCUCAGACCUGCGCCAUAAACCCACGAGCCAGGCCUUGUUGAAGAUAUCAGGGCCCCUGAUUUGAGCUCUGGGCUUCUGUGUGGAUUAAAAGAUAGUUAAAGGAUGGGCGUGGUGGCUCACGCCUGUAAUCCUACCACUUUGGGAGGCUGAGAUGGGCAGAUCACUUGAGGUCAGGAGUUCAAGACCAGCCUGGCCAACAUGGUGAAACCCUGUCUGUACUCAAAAUACAAAAAUUAACCAGGUGUCG
RNAcentral lists this long non-coding RNA (1176 nucleotides) under Homo sapiens (human). Its description in RNAcentral is "non-protein coding lnc-ZNF606-1:1". The record is from RNAcentral. Lineage: Eukaryota; Metazoa; Chordata; Mammalia; Primates; Hominidae.